AACGCGAACUCGGACAACGAAACGGACAACAACGAUUGAAACGAUGGCAAGCGCUGCCGAUAACUGGGUCAAAAAGACGACGGAUCAAGAAAUUUCUGCACUCGGUUAGCGAACUGAGUACAUAUCACCAAGGAUAAGGAUUCAGAGCCGGUGGCUGGCAGUCCAGAGAAAGAGAAUGCGGAAAAACCUAGUCCACCGGCAGUAGAACCAAAGCUGCACCUGAUGUUUGGAGUUCGGUAGCUACUGACUCUAGCAGCUCCUGAAGAAAAACAAGCUGCAAGAGAAAAUGGAGAAACAGCUUCCUCCGCGGAAGAUGCAGAGGCAUUCAACCCGGCGGAUGCAAGUUUGCUAAUGAAAGAUGUUCGCUAAGGUCUAGUAGAAUCAAAGCUGGAUCUGGAGGUGCAGCGGAAGGAUUCUUCUUCGCCGAUUGGUUGGUUAAAACUUUCGAAGCUUUGCACAUGAAGCAGGAAUUACUACAGAGAGUCUAUGCGAUGGGUUUCAACGCCCCUUCCAAGAUU
Long non-coding RNA from Topomyia yanbarensis, 518 nucleotides. RefSeq lists it as uncharacterized. The transcript has 3 exons. NCBI's taxonomy places the organism in Eukaryota, Metazoa, Arthropoda, Insecta, Diptera, Culicidae. The record is from RefSeq and is a predicted model, not a curated record.